CAAUAAAGUCCUUGGAAAUGAACCACAGCUGCUCCCAUUGAUCUGUUUUUCAAUUUUCUGUUGUUUGCUGGAAGAGCCUGCUUUUACUUUGCCUAAAGUGAGUCGCUUGAGUAAUCAGCAAAUCCACGGAAACUCCUAAGUCAUCGCCUCUCAGGGUGCCUGCUGGAUUCCUGUCCGUUAGCUGGCCCUCAGGCUUGCUGUCCACCCCCAGGCUUGCUGUCCACCAGAAACCCACUUGGAACUGUGCCAAGGAAAGCAAAGGACAGCGAUCAGCCUGUGAGAAACAGAGUAGACGGUGGCCAUCUCUGGCUUCUGAGCAAGAGUGCACGUGAAGCCCUCUCCUGGUGCCGGCUUACAGGUGCAUCUGCUUGAGCUUUUGAUGCAGUUUCUACACACAGCCCU
This 402-nucleotide long non-coding RNA is filed under the name Fukomys damarensis (Damara mole-rat). Its description in RNAcentral is "lncRNA (ENSFDAG00000024473.1)". Lineage: Eukaryota; Metazoa; Chordata; Mammalia; Rodentia; Bathyergidae. The record is from RNAcentral.